UACGGGGGGGGCAAGCGUUGUUCGGAAUCACUGGGCGUAAAGGGCGUGCAGGCGGUCGAGUAAGUGGAAUGUGAAAUGCCCCGGCUCACCCGGGGACCUGCAUUCCAAACUGCUUGGCUCGAGUACGGGAGAGGAUGAGGGAAUUCCUGGUGUAGCGGUGAAAUGCGUAGAUAUCAGGAGGAACACCGGUGGCGAAAGCGCUCAUCUGGCCCGAUACUGACGCUGAAGCACGAAAGCUAGGGGAGCAAACGGG
RNAcentral lists this ribosomal RNA (253 nucleotides) under uncultured prokaryote. RNAcentral's name for it is "partial 16S ribosomal RNA". It matches the Rfam family "Bacterial small subunit ribosomal RNA", at positions 524 to 776 of the family's 1533-position model. The record is from RNAcentral.